This 515-nucleotide ribosomal RNA is filed under the name uncultured bacterium. Its description in RNAcentral is "partial 16S ribosomal RNA". It matches the Rfam family "Bacterial small subunit ribosomal RNA", at positions 28 to 523 of the family's 1533-position model. The record is from RNAcentral.
GAUGAACGCUGGCGGCGUGCCUAAUACAUGCAAGUCGAGCGAAUGGAUUGAGAGCUUGCUCUCAAGAAGUUAGUGGCGGACGGGUGAGUAACACGUGGGUAACCUGCCCAUAAGACUGGGAUAACUCCGGGAAACCGGGGCUAAUACCGGAUAACAUUUUGAACCGCAUGGUUCGAAAUUGAAAGGCGGCUUCGGCUGUCACUUAUGGAUGGACCCGCGUCGCAUUAGCUAGUUGGUGAGGUAACGGCUCACCAAGGCAACGAUGCGUAGCCGACCUGGGAGGGUGAUCGGCCACACUGGGACUGAGACACGGCCCAGACUCCUACGGGAGGCAGCAGUAGGGAAUCUUCCGCAAUGGACGAAAGUCUGACGGAGCAACGCCGCGUGAGUGAUGAAGGCUUUCGGGUCGUAAAACUCUGUUGUUAGGGAAGAACAAGUGCUAGUUGAAUAAGCUGGCACCUUGACGGUACCUAACCAGAAAGCCACGGCUAACUACGUGCCAGCCGCCGCCGUAA